Tympanuchus pallidicinctus (lesser prairie-chicken) is the source of this 8834-nucleotide long non-coding RNA. RefSeq lists it as uncharacterized. The transcript is spliced from 2 exons. The record is from RefSeq and is a predicted model, not a curated record. Lineage: Eukaryota; Metazoa; Chordata; Aves; Galliformes; Phasianidae.
UUAAAAAAUAUUGUUUGUUACAUACAAGGGUGCUGAUCAUGAAUGCUGUGUUUAGUUCUGUAUUCUGAUUUACAUCUCUUUAUACAAGCUAAGAAGUGGAUAUUUUCAUGCAUGAAUGAAUAUGGCCAGGAAGAAGCAGUUAAGUCCUGUACAAGCUACAUGCUUGCUUGGUAAUCUUUUGCAUUAGACAACAUCUCAGUAAUAAUGGGAUUUUCCUAAACCUAGGGAUUUUCUAAUUUGUCUUUGUGGUCAUCCUCUGAAUUGCUAAAACGUCUGACUGACAAUUCUGUUGAGGGUAACAGUAUAUAUGGUGUUAAUCAUAGCAUGGAGUGUUGACCAGUAGAGAUGAUCCAUGCUGACCUUGUAUAGCACCAUAUGCACUAGGAUGAGUCUGAUUCUGAAUAUUUUCUAUCUGUGUAAUGCACUGUAUUUUCAGCACUUUUGCUAGUAUACCUCACCCCCUCUCUCACUUUUGACUUCAUUCAGCAUCUUGACCAACCCUCAUGUCCAACAGCACAAGUCUGUAGAACAUCAUACUUUCAGUAGACACAAAGGGCUGUCAAGCAUCAACUUGAGCCCUUUGUGAGAUGAUUCCAAUUGCUACAUCAAGGAGAAGCCACCAUCAAUACUUGGCCAAGAGUACUAGUAAAAGCAAUCCAGAAAUCCUUACACAAACAGGUCUUGAUUCAAUGGUCCUAUCUAAUUAAUUAGACAGGGAUAAACAACAUGGGCUCUUUUCAGCCACCAAAAAAUUUGCCAACUCUCAUUUUAUUCCCUCUAGUAUUCUCAUUCUUAGAUGAGAACUCAACAACUCAACAGAUGUAACUCAACAACUCAAAACCAACCGUAAAGCAUAGUCACCUAUUUCCUCACAGGAUUACUUCUAGCCCAUCAUGGGCUACCCACAUCCUAUCUGUUUAAGUCCGUCAUCCAGCUGGCCAUACAGUACUCCCACCUUCUCAACUCCCACACCAGUUCAGCCUCAUAAACAAGAAGCCUGCAGAUAGCUUGUACAUGAUUGGUACAGAAAAGGUUCCUUGCAGGGAGGGCUCAGGCUGAGCCCACCAGGACUGUGCUGGCCAGAGGCUCCAAUCCUACUACAUCAGCCUGCUUUGUGAGAAUAGGGAGACUCAAACAAGUUGCUUAGAGUAGUUGUUUCGCUUUGUUGGUUAAAUGUUCCAAUUUCAGCACAGAGAUUUUUGUUGUUAGCAAACUCGAGAAAAAUAUUUCGUUUAUGUGUUUUUCUUCCCCUCUCUAAAACCAUACAUUCAUAUUCUCUUCUUGUGAAAAGGUUAGUUUCAGGAGAAAUUUAUAAGCAGAACUGGGGUGUUGCUUUGCAAAGUACAUUAUUGGAAAAUACUUUUUUUUGGUUGUUGCUUUGUUUUUCUUCCCCAGUAGGGAAAAAUCUAAGCCAAACUAACAUGGUUCUUACUUUUAAGUAUGACACAGCUAUGAUUAAGGGAGGAAUCUGAUCUAUUCACCUCCUGCAACUGCACCUCUAAUACCUAAGUCUAGACCAGAACAAGCACAGAAUGAUGGGCACUUGCAGCGUGCAGACUCUGGUUGGAGUAGAUGAGUGAUGACAAAACUGACAUCAGCUUCUGCACCUCUCUGGCAGCUGCUCAUCACCUAUCCUGCAAAGCACUGGAAGGAGCUGGCCCAGCCCCGGAGCCAUCAGGAGCACUUUGUGUCCUAAACAUUGCUUCUCAGCAUGGCUGUUUGGUUAGAUGGGAAGAGGAGAAACCCGGGAUGGGCAGCACAGGCUGGCAUUGCAUUGCUUCGUGUCCCUGCACUGUGCAUUGAACUACAUGCACAGGGACCAAUUCCUCCUCAGUACAAAGCAACUGGCUUCAGGAAAUUACAUCAGGGCCAGCGUUUAAAAUACAGAAAAUACACAAUAAUAUAUUUGAAUAGUAUGCACUUUGACCAUAAUGACAUUUAGGUGGGGGGAAAAAAAAUGGUAAGUGACCAUCUGCUCCCAAGCUUGUUUCUGCUGUGUAAAGAAUGUCAAGGGUCUUUUUUAACUUUUCCGGAUGCAAACAAAUGGUUUAUUCAGCAAGGAUCAUGGCUACAGCCCAAGACAAUCAGCCAAGUGGGUUCGGAGAAAAAAUGACUUUUCAGUUCCAACCCCAGACCCUCCUUUCCAUUUUUUUUUCCAGCUCAUUAAGUUUGCAUUAACAAAACAUCACCAUUCAAAGGCAGGAAGGCUAUUCAAAGCAUUUGUAUUCUUAAAUGCCUCCAACAGUGAAAGACAAACACUUUACUUGUAUUAUCAGGUGAUUAAGUUUGCUUUUCCAUGUAUAUAAAUUAUAUUACUUGUACAAACAUAUAAAGAGGACAUCGGAUCAUUCACAUCAGGGCUGCAGGUUCAAAACCUUAAGGUCUUAGUCCAGCAAAGCACUUAAAGACACAGACAGCCUUAAAGCUUAAAGUGGUUACAGGGAUUUGUUGGAUCAGAGUUUAACUGUAUUAUUAAAACUACCUUCGUCCAGCUGGAGGCAUCUGUGAUGAAGGCUAGGAGGAGGGAGUGGAAUGGUGUGUGCUGCUGUGCCUCCUGGUGUUUGCCAGCCCCGUGGGCAUCCCUAGCCGCCUCUCCAGAGGCAUGGGGAGAGGCCCCUGAGCUGGUCAUGUUUUCCUCUGCUCAGGUACCUUGUGGUGGCCCCAGUAGGCACAAACAGUGCUAAGCCCCUGAGCAGCACAAACUGAAAUCGCAGGUCUGCAGCGAAGAGGGAGGCCGGCACCGCUGCUGUGCCCCUGCUAGGCCCUGCAUUGGGGGCUUAGCAGUAUAAUUACAUUAAUACAAUUAAUCCAUAAGAAUCCCUCCUUUGGCUACACUUACAAUGUUACAGCUUGUUCCCUUUCUCCUGUGAAAAUCACUAGCUAUUAAUACACAGAGGAUAUACGCACAUUAGGAGAUUGAUACACUGGGCACAAUUAAGUUAUUCCUACCUGCAAAAACCUGGUUUUCUUUAGAACAAAUCUAUUUAACAGCAGAAGAACAAAUAAAGCCACAGUUGCUUUGAGCUGGUCUCAGAAACCCUAGUUAUCUUUCACUUUGCUUUGAAUUUUCUUCAUGAGUUUAUGGUAGUGCCAGGCUGGAGCGUUAGCAUAAGGAAUUUCAGCUCCAGAUGGAAAAAUGAGGCCAGAUGAAAGCAGGUCGUCUGCUCGAGGAGGAAGAGGCAAACAGCCUGAAAUUUCCAGUAGGUCUGAGGCCACUUUUCAGGGCAGUGGCAGCCCAUGCAGACUUGCUAGCCUUUUCCAACUCUUAAAGAAAGUUAACUGUGGAUCCAACUUACCCUGAUUUUUAGGAAGAAUUUUUACUGUCGUCAUUACUGUUUAAAAGAGCUGCUACAUUAAUUCUGCAAUAAGGAUGAACUUAUUUUUUGCCUGCGAUUAUUUUUAUUUCCUCGCUAAUAACCAGAUUAUCUCAGUUCAGGUAGCAGGACAAUGGGACAGUAUUCUAGUCUAUACCUAUAAACUAAUUCAGCAGAAUGAGGCACUGUAAUAUAACUGUUCAUAUUAUAGUUCCAUUUAUGGACCUCAGCCAAGAUUAUUCUCAUACACCACUAGGAAAGCCUAUAAGAGAGGGAGAAUCCCUGUCUUGCUGAAACACGUAGAUCUUGAAAUAAGUCAGAGAGCCACAGAGCAGUGAAGUGGCAUCCCUGGGGCUUCUACAUCACACACAGGAGCACAGCAAUAGCGUCCUAAGACCCCAUGCAAUGCAUUCACAUUGCCUCAAGGCAGUAUUUCUCAGUCUGCAUCAAUUUUUGAUAUGGCAUUUUUGUUGUCUAUUUCUCCGUCUGUAUCAAAUUUUGAAAAGCAUUUUUAAUCAGCUCUAUUUUGAAAAAAAUUCGCACCAACUUUAGUAGAACAUAUUCAUCAACAAGAAACUUUGAACUGUAAUGGCAAAUGCUUAUUGCAGUGUUUAUGAUAACCUUUAAUGCUAAAAAUAGCUCCUGUAAACAAGCUUUGAUUAAUUCCCACUGUCAGGAUGUGCUCUGUUCCCAAGUUUAAGAACACUUUUUCCGUAGAUGCUUGCUCAUUUCCUUCAGUCCAACCUCUUGGAAUGAAUCUGAAGGCUCGAACUCUAGGCUCUCCUUACUGCUCAGGUACAAACAGACCCCUAGCAAACAGCCUCCUCUCUUUCAACAGCUUUGUUCUGACCAAGAGGUACAUUUUUGGGGGGGGGGCCUUCUACAAGGGAUCACAUCACCAACUCCACAGACUUGUCAAGGUUUGUCUCUUAUCCUGAAUCCAGCAAGUACCAGAAAGCUGCUCAGAUGCUGUGCAUAGUAGACACGAGGCUGCAAGUCCUCUAGAGGAUUGUAAAAGCUGCUUGGUGCCCGUCAUCCGAAGUUAGGGAAUAUGUAAGAGCAAAUUUAACCUGCAUCAGAGAGGGCAAUUUUGGGACAGACCUGUCUCUUCCCAGUUUAUUUUUUUGCAUUAGAGGAAAGCAACAGAUUUCCCACUCCCCCCCCCCCCCCCCCCCCUUGACAGAAGGUACAUCCUGUGCAAGGGGUUAUUUUCAAUACCACCAAUAAAUGCUUUCUUUUUUCACAAAAAAGCUAUUCUUAAACCUGAAUCUUCCUGAAGGCUCCUAUCUCUAGGAGCACAAGGAAUUUUGCUAAAGAAAACACUUAUGUUAAUGCUGCAAUUUUACUGCAGUUUGUACCUAGCCAAAUCCCUCAGAUUCUACUCUGAGAAGGUGCUUUGAGUCAUGCUGCAAUUGAUGAUGAGUAGAGGAACGCAGCAUCACAUCAGACCAGGCUUUCUGAGCACACCUUCUCCCCAAAAGGGAUGUCACUUCAGGCAGCUGAGGGCACUCGGUACCCAUCUCCACUCACUCCUACCAGCACAGCUGGCACAGAGCUAGUUUCCAAUUUAAUGAAAGCGAACAAGUGGGCAAGCUAUUUUUAAAGCACUGUUUUAUGCCACAAUGGUCGGAGAUUAGAUGCUGCUUGUCCAGACAUUCAAAAACAAUGUCCACAUCAGUUCUCCUCGCAGUUUGUGCUCUCCCUUAAAAACACAGAGAAAAGCUAUUUUUUCCCUUCUGCUUCCCACUGGUUUUCCUGCUCUGUUGUCUCCCUCCCUUGAAACAACUUCACACUGGCUUCCUUGUGGCCUCCCUUCUCCCAAACAACUUCCCGUCUGCUUCCCUGUUCCCUCCCCAUUUCUUCUGCUGUCUGCUUGCACAGAAGCGACUCCCACCCAGCUUCCUUUGCUGGAUUCUCUGCAGAAAAGACACCUGGGUGACUGUACAAUUAACAUGAGAUUGUAGCAAGCUGAUAAAGCUGUGCUUUCCUGAUUAGCCUAACUAAAAAGUCAGCAGUCAUGGCACAUUGAUGCCAAGGUGUCCUGGUUGCAGUAACUUCUAUCACAUGUGCGGUCCAAAUAAGCACUUAAAAUUAUUGGCACCCCAUAUAGGCUUCCUAAAGUGAAUUCUCUUUCUAAUAUUCACACUACAACACACUGAAUAAGCCUUAGAAACUACCACAAUACUAAGGGAGACAGAUUUAUUAUUGUGUGGAAAAAGACAAUUAUUUUUCUUUUGCCAUCCAUUCAUACCCGAAAAGCACAAGCUGUACUAGGGAAUAGUAAGAUACAAAUACUGGUAUUGGUCUUUCUGACCACGCUGAAAGACAUAAGCUCCUGAAUCCAAAAGCUCCAAUAUAGAUGACCACCAAACAGCCAAUUUUUAGCAGCAACUUUAUGCGAUCAAAGCCUUUACUUGAACAAAGAUCUAUUCUAAAUUUAUCCCAAUGACACUAAUGCAGCGACGGCAAAAUGUAUUAUGCCAACAGAAUUAGAAGACAGCUUGAAAAAUAUUUAAGAGGUCAUAAUUAAAUGAUAUUUCUACUAACAUUCCAAUUAUACCGCAUACUGUUGUGUGCACAACAUGGAAACAGUAUUAUAAAGCCAUUGUUUCAGUUUGCUUCCUGUGAUACUAAUCUCAAUCAGGCCGUCAGACUAACAGCCUGCAUUUCUAAAUGUUAAAGGCUUCCUCUCCAACAUUCCCACACAGAAUUGCCUACUGUGAAAAUCAAAGGGAAACGCGUUACUAAGUAAAGAAGCAACUUUUAUAAAGCAAAGCCUGGUAUUUUUUACCCUUUUGAACUCUGAGAUAUACAACCAGCUAUUUCCUAUUAUGAUAGGAUGCAAGGGCCCGGCGGAGGCCCCGCCAUGGCUGCAGGAGAAGCGCACCCACAGCCCAGACGCUGGGCCUUCCAGCAGCACGUAGCGCCGAGCUCAAUGCAUGCUCAGACUCCAGGCUCUGCCUUUCACCUGAUGGAAGAACGUAGGCACAGAUCUCCCAAGGUCUCAGCUUUCUGCCAGCUAAAUAAUCAUUAUGCAGGCACAGCUAGCCAAAAAGUCGAGUUACACAAGCGAAAAGCUCUGUUCCAAGUCAGAGAAUGGUACAACAGGGCAUCAAGCGUUCAGUGCCAAGGGACGGAGGCUGGCACACUGCCUGAAGCCAUCCAUCUGAAGCAUGAGGAUACCCCAUCUCUGGAAAUGUCAAGGCCAGGUUGGAUGGGACUCAGAGCAGCCUCAGCUGGUGGGAGGCAGCCCUGCCCAUGGCAGGGGGCUGGAAUCACUUGGGUUUUAAGUUCCUUUCAACUCAAGUCAUACCAUGAUUCUGUGUGCUUGCAGAAAGAUGAGGAUGCAGUCCCACGAAAGCUCUCGCUUGCCCUGUUCCCAGUAAAAUUGCCAUUUUACUGGCAACAAACAACAUUAUUAAAUAUAACGUCUUCCACCAGGAGCUUUUGAUAUAAUUAAUAAUAAAUAACAAAAAUACUAAUCAAGUAGUAUGUUUUUCUCUACUAACUUCUGAAGUAUUCACCAAGCGGUAUCCCAGGCUUAUUUUAGUGACAUUGUGUGUGCGUGUAUAUGUGUGUAUAUAUAUAUAUAUAUAAGUACAGUAAAUGUUAUUUCAAUGUCCUAAUUAAUGACAGAACACAAACUCCCACUUAACUCCAGUUUACACUAAGAGUCUAGCCCAAAUAAUCAGUACUGUUCCAUGAAGACAACAUAAAGCAAAGAGGUCUGCAGGCUGGGGUAGGUGUUUGUCUCUCAUGCAUGCUCCAGUUCUCUGCCACCCCAUAGAGUUCCCAGUUAAUCUGUCAGAGAUGACAGAAGAAGCUCUGUGCUACCCAGCACUGGAGUUAGGCUCCUUAAAUGCAAUGCAGAGUUAAUUAACUCUGAAUUAACAGUCUGCUAGAUGCGACUGUCAAAUGGGGGCAGUUUUGGUUGGGUCUUGGAAAGAGGAAAACCAACAGGGAUCUCAUAAGCCACUUCCACUUCACUCCAUGCUCUUGGCAAAAUCUCUUCAUAUGGGAGUAAAAAAAUAAUCAUUUUGAAUUAAAUUAGACAUCCUAAUAGAGAAAAUUUGUGUCUUUAUGAAGACUGACAUUGCUCAGCUGACCACAAAGACUUUGAUUCCGCUCUCACAGGAACAGGUCAGAAAAGCAACACCUUUCCAACAUUAGCUGCAUUAAGUAAGUACUGUACAACAGGCCUGAAUGGCAGAAGCUUUUCAAAAACUCUCACCUGCCAAAAGUUUGCUUAGAAAUACCUAUAUUCAAUUUUCCUGCUUUCCCUGCUCCUGAGGGGAAGAAACGGUACUCAAACUGACAUAAAUUUGCUUUGGUUAGAAUAGCACUCUACCUAUGUGAAUUUCAGGAAUCUCAGCAAGUGUACACUGCACAAUAAUAAUUUUAAAAAAUAUAUUUCAAAAUCAUUAUUCUGAUAAAGAAAGUUCUCUCUCUGAUUACCACUGAAUUCCAAAGCCUGAUAGGUGUUCUCUUUCCAAUAUUCGAGCUAAACAGUUUCAGCUUUCUUGUUUAGCUUGAUUUAAGCAUUAGCCAAACCUGGAAGAAUAUAAGUAGCAGAUGAGCAAUAUAUUACAAGUACUCAGUUGUUUUCUAGCUUGAAUUCUUUCAUUUCCAUGUAUUCCCCAUGUCAGAAAAUAAUAUCCAACUCUGCUAAAAAAAUCAGUCCCUUCAGACUAACUUAAGCUCAAUCCCUCAAAAGGGAAACAUUUAAAGAUUUUGAAACUCUGAUCCACACCUCCAUGGACAAAUCUGCAUGAGGUGACUUAAUCCAAACCAGUAUUUUAACUGGGGAAGCAGAUCAGACUAAAGGCUAAGAAAACAACUAACAUAGAAGAGAUUUGGAACAUCGUUAAAACAGUCUGUCACAACUGUAACAUUUCAUUUCCAGAUUCCUGUCUAACUGCUUGGUCACGGUGAUACCUAAAGAAAAUGUGUAUCGACUACACAAAUCACACUGGCUUUCAAGCAGUGUCACAGAAGACACACCAAAGUAUGCAAAUAUAUGAAUAAUAUAUCAAUAUAUUGAGUCGUCAUCAGUAUCAAAUAAUACAAUCUUAACCCUUAACACUUAAGAAGUGCUGAACCAAAUAUUUUGUCUGUAGAACUUUGUCAGUAAAUGGAAGUGUAUUUGAAAAGUUCACUUUAAAUUCAAUGGUUUUCAGGUCAGCAAAUAUUUUCUUCUCACAAUGACAGCAUCAAACUAUUUUCUUUGAACAUCCACAGACACAAGCAUUAUUUAUAUUAUCUGUUACAAUCCUGCAGAAAUUUGCUUUUCCUAUGCUGUACAGUCACUAGUUCAUCUAAUGUAAAUAUUUGUAAAGCUGAAGCUGGUUGUAGUUUUUUGUUUUGUUUUUGCUUUUUUUGUUUUGUUUUUUAAUGAGAAAGCCACUAAAAAAUUGGCUUGCUGUACAGCAUUUUAAAGAACGUUUACCUAUUUAAUGCACUUCAAGCAUUAAUUACAUGGAGAUAUCAAAGAUUAUUUCCAAAUGCUGUUUAGCAAAUAAA